Molecule: long non-coding RNA, 93 nt
Organism: Quercus lobata
Lineage: Eukaryota; Viridiplantae; Streptophyta; Magnoliopsida; Fagales; Fagaceae
Exons: 2
Source: RefSeq, a predicted model, not a curated record
GCAUUAAACCUAACUAACUGAAUUUGGGAGAAGGUGGCUUUGGAUCUGUCUACAAGGGUACAUUGCUAGAGGGGAAAGAGAUAGCAGUAAAAA